RNAcentral lists this ribosomal RNA (633 nucleotides) under uncultured Ascomycota. RNAcentral's name for it is "eukaryotic LSU rRNA". The stretch from base 249 to 402 matches the Rfam family "5.8S ribosomal RNA". The record is from RNAcentral. Lineage: Eukaryota; Fungi; Ascomycota.
CUUGGUCAUUUAGAGGAAGUAAAAGUCGUAACAAGGUUUCCGUAGGUGAACCUGCGGAAGGAUCAUUAUCCAAAGAUGCCCUCUAUAGGGAACUCCGUCAACCCACCAGGGUGAUGUGGCCUUUCCUUGUGAAUCCACUCCUUGCUUUGGCAGCAUCUUGCUCAUGAGCAUGUUGUUAGCCUGCCAGUAGCUCCAAAGAAACUACCAUAUUUUGAACUGUCUGAUGAACAAGAAAGCAAAUUUCAGAAAACUUUCAACAACGGAUCUCUUGGUUCUCGCAUCGAUGAAGAACGCAGCGAAACGCGAUAGGUAAUGUGAAUUGCAGAAUUUAGUGAAUCAUCGAAUCUUUGAACGCACAUUGCGCCCCUUGGCACUCCGGGGGGCAUGUCUGUUCGAGCGUCAUAUCACUCUCAAGUCAUCAUUUGUCAUGGUGAUCUUGGUUUUGAGCUGUGGAGUUGUUGCAUCUCCAGCUCUAAAGUUGUAGGAUGCGGUCCACGUCAAACCCUGAACAUGAUAGCAUUCUUUGUUGUUGUUUGGUGGUGCUGAGCGCUGGACUAGCCUUUCAAUCUUAAAUUUUGACCUCGGAUCAGACAAGGAUACCCGCUGAACUUAAGCAUAUCAAUAAGCGGAGGA